Molecule: ribosomal RNA, 881 nt
Filed under: Acinetobacter dispersus
Lineage: Bacteria; Pseudomonadati; Pseudomonadota; Gammaproteobacteria; Moraxellales; Moraxellaceae
Description: bacterial SSU rRNA
Rfam family: Bacterial small subunit ribosomal RNA
Source: RNAcentral
UUGAACGCUGGCGGCAGGCUUAACACAUGCAAGUCGAGCGGGGUGAUGUACUUCGGUACUGAUCCUAGCGGCGGACGGGUGAGUAAUGCUUAGGAAUCUGCCAUUUAGUGGGGGACAACAUUCCGAAAGGAAUGCUAAUACCGCAUACGUCCUACGGGAGAAAGCAGGGGAUCUUCGGACCUUGCGCUAAAUGAUGAGCCUAAGUCGGAUUAGCUAGUUGGUGGGGUAAAGGCCUACCAAGGCGACGAUCUGUAGCGGGUCUGAGAGGAUGAUCCGCCACACUGGGACUGAGACACGGCCCAGACUCCUACGGGAGGCAGCAGUGGGGAAUAUUGGACAAUGGGCGGAAGCCUGAUCCAGCCAUGCCGCGUGUGUGAAGAAGGCCUUUUGGUUGUAAAGCACUUUAAGCGAGGAGGAGGCUACCUGGAUUAAUACUCUGGGAUAGUGGACGUUACUCGCAGAAUAAGCACCGGCUAACUCUGUGCCAGCAGCCGCGGUAAUACAGAGGGUGCGAGCGUUAAUCGGAUUUACUGGGCGUAAAGCGUGCGUAGGCGGCUGAUUAAGUCGGAUGUGAAAUCCCUGAGCUUAACUUAGGAAUUGCAUUCGAUACUGGUCAGCUAGAGUAUGGGAGAGGAUGGUAGAAUUCCAGGUGUAGCGGUGAAAUGCGUAGAGAUCUGGAGGAAUACCGAUGGCGAAGGCAGCCAUCUGGCCUAAUACUGACGCUGAGGUACGAAAGCAUGGGGAGCAAACAGGAUUAGAUACCCUGGUAGUCCAUGCCGUAAACGAUGUCUACUAGCCGUUGGGGCCUUUGAGGCUUUAGUGGCGCAGCUAACGCGAUAAGUAGACCGCCUGGGGAGUACGGUCGCAAGACUAAAACUCAA